This 452-nucleotide ribosomal RNA is filed under the name uncultured bacterium. RNAcentral's name for it is "bacterial SSU rRNA". It matches the Rfam family "Bacterial small subunit ribosomal RNA", at positions 29 to 526 of the family's 1533-position model. The record is from RNAcentral.
AACGAACGCUGGCGGCAGGCUUAACACAUGCAAGUCGAACGCAUCCUUCGGGGUGAGUGGCAGACGGGUGAGUAACACGUGGGAACGUGCCUUUUGGUUCGGAACAACACAGGGAAACUUGUGCUAAUACCGGAUAAGCCCUUCGGGGGAAAGAUUUAUCGCCAGAAGAUCGGCCCGCGUCUGAUUAGCUAGUUGGUGGGGUAAUGGCCCACCAAGGCUACGAUCAGUAGCUGGUCUGAGAGGAUGAUCAGCCACACUGGGACUGAGACACGGCCCAGACUCCUACGGGAGGCAGCAGUUAGGAAUCUUGGACAAUGGGCGCAAGCCUGAUCCAGCCAUGCCGCGUGAGUGAUGAAGGCCUUAGGGUUGUAAAGCUCUUUCAGCGGGGAAGAUAAUGACGGUACCCGCAGAAGAAGCCCCGGCUAACUUCGUGCCAGCCGCCGCAGUAACAC